Molecule: long non-coding RNA, 4238 nt
Filed under: Sarcophilus harrisii (Tasmanian devil)
Lineage: Eukaryota; Metazoa; Chordata; Mammalia; Dasyuromorphia; Dasyuridae
Description: lncRNA (ENSSHAG00000032300.1)
Source: RNAcentral
GUUUGUUCUUACUUAAGUAAGUUCUUCUUAAGGUGGAAGGACACAGGUCAUUUCCCCCUAGCUAUCUAAGUAUUAAUAUUACUGGAAAGUAUUAAGAAAUGUACCUCGGUAACUAAAUUAUAGAAAAGUUGCUCUAGAAAAAGCCCCAAAGGGAAGGCAGACCAAGUGAAUCUGUUCAUACCAGCCUGGGAAGGAGUCCUUGAAUUCACUUCCUUUCUUUGCCGCUGACCCAUUGCAUGGCCCCCUGGCCAGUCCUUUUGAAGAAUCUGUGAUUGCGUGAGCAGCCUACUCGAUAAACAUCCAGGAACCCUGAUAUACCUCACAAGCGUUUAUGAUAGUAAGCAGAGUUGGGGAAAUUCGUGUUCAAUAAAAAUGUAAAACCUUAAAAAGAGCCAUGUACUCCCUCCAAAGUCCUGCUGUGGAGAGAUCCAUGUUCACAUGUGCAUCUCCUAUACACAGGGCAAGCUAUAACAUUAAUUUCAGCCCCAAAAUGGGUGCAUGUGCAUUUUCCUACUAACCUGCCACACAGUAUAAUGCUUAGAACAGUUCUGUGUGUAAAAAGUAGACUGAGCUCUGGGGUAAACAUACAGGGAUCCAAUACACAUUUAUUAAGUACUUCCUAGGGGCACAACAUUGUGCUGGGAGCCGUGGAAGAUGAAAAAAUGACCCAGCCCUUGCUUUGGAGACCCUUACAAUCUUGUGGCUGCCUCACUGUUACAGAUCGCAUCCUUUAGUAGAUUUAAGAAACACUUAAAAGUAACUGCUUAAUAUCUGAGCAGCCAUUAAUAAAUUCUCAUCACACCCAAAAUUAUCCCUUGCAAAACUCCUCACUGCUUGGCCGUUUGUUUUGGAGAGAAAAAGGUGAGAUGACACAUGAAUGUUCAGAAGAUCCCGUUGACAUUCUGAAUUUCCCGUCAAGUUUUUAGUUUGGGUUGAAUAGAGAGAAGGUUCGGACAGCUACUGCAGACCCUGCCCUCAGGCUCGAGGGUCCUACAUGUUCCCAGUGAGGUAAAAGAGAAAUCCAAAGAAAGGAGAGAGAGGAGAAAUCGUGCUGACUGACUCUCCUUGGUCCAGAGGGCCAGUGGCCAGGCUCCAUUAAUGUAACCCUUUGUCUGUGGUGCCUUUGAGUAGCCUCCUCUACACCGAUAGGAGAAUGGCUAUUUCUAAGCCAAGUUGGGGAGGGAUGGGGAGCAAGGUUUUGGAACAAUCCAAAAAAAAAUUUUUUUUUUUUUUUAUAUAUCUCCUCGAUACACGAGGAAGGGAAAGAAUACAGAGGAAAACACAAUAAUGGCAUGAUUGUAUUUUUCAUAUCUCCAGAAUGCUUCAGGGGAAGAGACCUGAAUUCUGAGUCCACAGGAGAGUAGCUUGGUAAUAGAUUUUUAUAUAAGUCACUACUAAAGAAAGACUAAGAUGACUGAGAAUCCAAAACAGGGACUUCAGGAUACUCUGCCGUCCCUCAGUCCCUCGCUCUAAUAUCUGUUGUAUGGAACUCAGGAUGGCAGAAAAGUUGGCACUCUCAUGUAUGAUUUUGCAGCAGCUGGAUGCACAUGCCUACUAGCUCUAUUGAUUCCAGAAUGAAUGUAUUUAUGUUUGCAAAAUGGUUUUGGGUCUUUGAAAUCUCUGAGUAAAGAUUUGGUGGGAACCCAUUAAAAGAAGUAGCAUUCAGGGCAGCUAGGUGGUGCAGUGGAUAGAGCACUAGCCCUGAGUUCAAAUGUAGCCCCAAGCACUUAACAUUUCCUAGCUGUGUGACCCUGAGCAAGUCACUUAACCCCAAUUGUCUCAGGAAAAAAAAAAAGUGUUAGUUGAGUUCCCAGAGAUGGUUACUCGGCAAAUUACAUCAUUUGAAUGUACUCAUUCAAAUACAAUUAUCUUCACACUUAAUUUUUGAUAUAUAAUGAUCUGUGCAUUGUACAUAAGUAAACUGGGCUAGACAUUUGCAAUUUCUUUAUUAUAUAAAGGAGUUCAUUUAUGGGGCAAAUAUAAAAACACAGUUAUCUCUCCGGCGUUACAACUUUCCCAUUGCAGUUUUGCUGUAUUGCAGGUUGGCAUAAGAAAUUAAGUGGGAGUUUGGGGGAAGUUUUACAGAAGCCACGCAAAGCCCAGCAAACUCUGAACUAUGACCAAAUAUGUAAUUCAAAUUUAAAAUGAGAUACUGCAAACACCCUACAGAAGAAAAGAAAAAAUUCAGGUUUGUUCUCUGGGAUGAAGAGGGCCAAAAAAAUCUUGCGUACAUUUUCCAGAUCAAGAGGGUGCUGCACCCCUGAUCGCAGCCAUAGGGGAGGGAUGACUGUGUUUCUGGGUCACUUGGACAAAGUGUUUAUUGCUAGCAGAAGCACCCAGGAAAAGUUCCAGGACAUAUCCAGAGCAAGGUAAAACAAGUGUUUUGAGACAGCGACAAUCUGAGUGGCUGUUUUUUAAUGGAGCACAUAACAUUGCUGAUAAUAAAUUGUUGGGACAAUUUUUGUUUUUGUUCCUCUCUGCCCCCUUGUCACUCUCUCUAUCUUUAAAAAAAAAAAAAACAUUAUCGCGUUCUUCAGUCAUUAACAGAGCUAGGGCGUCAAAAAUUAAAAUAUUCUCCAAAGCGAUUCCAUGAGGAUGGGUUUGUUCCUUUUCCUCCUUAGUUAUCCCAACAUUGGUGAUAGCUGAAAAGGUGAAACAUAUAUUCACUCCCUUCCCACCAUAGUUUUAAUUUCCACAUUCCAGGUACAUGAUGUAGCAUAUGGGAUUGGGGGUUAAGAUGACUUGUUUUUAAUCCUGCUUCACACACUUAGUAGUUAGGGACACUUAUCCAUUCCCUGCCUCAGUUUUCUCACCUGUAAAUAAUGGGAAUGAACCUGAUGCCUUCUAGCAGCCCCGCUGUGAUCUAUGGUCCCAUGACUUGAGUUAACCUAUUCUUGCACAGACCAAACCCUUUACCCUGCUUUUAUUCUUAAUAAACAAUGAUUCCUGUUUGUACAGCAAUGAGUUCACAUGAUAAAAAUGUAGAAACUCCUUUGCUACUCUUUCAGCUACCGUGGAACCUCAUUCAUUUGGGCUCCAGUCAUUCGACAACGUAUGUGAUGACUGGACUAGAAUUUACCUUUGCUUCUCAAAUCCUUACUCUGUAAAUAAUGCAAUUUACUUCUGCAAACAAGACCUCUGAGCAACAUACUUUUCAAUCAGAUGGAUGCAUUAGCUGUUUGACUAUGGGCAAGUCCAUUUUCCUCUUUGACUUUCAGUUUCUUAUCUCUUAAAUGAAGGAAUUAUUAGAAUAAUAAUGAUGUUGAUCUCAGAAAAGCUCUUCUCUUCCAGCCCUGACUUGCCAUGAUCCUAUUACAGAAGAAACAUUUUAGCCAUUUUAUAUAUGAAAACAAUACACAAUUUAUUCUUCCCUGUUCGUUAAAAUAGGUACCCUGAGGGUUUCUAGUAAGCAACUUUGUUUACAUAGUUCAAGCUUCUGUAUGGACUGGAAAAUCAUUGUGUGGCCUUGCUUUAAAAACACCAUAAUUCAUCAUUUUAACCGACAGACUGGUCUUUUCAGUUGUUUUAUUGAAUUAGGAGAUUUUACUAUAUCCAGGUAAAAUCAUGCAGGUAAUGAGGAACACCAGGAGAGAUUGAGGAACCUAUAGCAACUGUGUUUAUAAAAUAAGACUAUCUAUAUAUUGACAACAACUUGGACUAAGGGACAGAAAAACAGACCGGUCCACUGAGUUUUUAGAGAAACUAGUGUUUGAAGGUUCAUUUAAGAAGCUCUACCAUGUAAGCUCCUUGAUUACAAGGAUACCUCAUUUUUCAUCUCUGUAUCUCGAGUCCCUUUUUAUCUUUGUAUUUCUAGUGCCUUACAGACAGUUGGCACUUAAUAAAUGUUCAUUAACUUGACCUGAAUUUGACUGAUUUUUUUUAAUCACCCUAAACACAAGCUUCUCUAUUAUAAAAAAUUAUGAAAAACAUCAUGUUAUUUUAUUUUCCCAGAUCCCGAAGGCAAAAACAAACUACAUGGGGCAAUAUUUCUUGACGCCUGCUCAUCACUCCCAGUUCAUAUAGUCUGGGCGAUACUGGGCAUUGUAAAACUACAUUCAUGCAUUUUCAGCGUCUUUGUUGAAACUUUCCAGCACCAUGGUAACCAAAGGUCCCAAGGUUGAAUGCAGGCAAUAGGAAUUAGAGGGUGUCUUGCUUAGAAUAGCAGGGCAUAAAAUAUCAUGAACGACAGAUACAAAAGCAGCCUGGUCUUUGGUUUCUAAGCUAUCAAGAGAUCAAUG